ACUGUUGCCUAUGUGCAAACUCU
This 23-nucleotide microRNA is filed under the name Xenopus tropicalis (tropical clawed frog). RNAcentral describes it as "Xtr-Mir-92-P2a_5p* (star (passenger))". The record is from RNAcentral. Lineage: Eukaryota; Metazoa; Chordata; Amphibia; Anura; Pipidae.